AACGAACGCUGGCGGCAGGCUUAACACAUGCAAGUCGAACGGGUGUAGCAAUACAACAGUGGCGCACGGGUGAGUAACGCGUGGGAAUAUGCCCUUUGGUACGGAACAACCUCGGGAAACUGAGGCUAAUACCGUAUAAUAUCUGCGGAUCAAAGAUUUAUCGCCAAAGGAUUAGCCCGCGUUGGAUUAGGUAGUUGGUGAGGUAACGGCUCACCAAGCCGACGAUCCAUAGCUGGUCUGAGAGGAUGAUCAGCCACACUGGGACUGAGGCACGGCCCAGGCUCCUACGGGAGGCAGCAGUGAGGAAUAUUGGACAAUGGAGGAAACUCUGAUCCAGCCAUGCCGCGUGAGUGAUGAAGGCCUUCGGGUUGUAAAGCUCUUUUACCCCUGACGAUAAUGACGGUAAGGGGAGAAAAAGCCACGGCUAACUUCGUGCCAGCCGCCGCGGUAA
This 451-nucleotide ribosomal RNA is filed under the name uncultured bacterium. RNAcentral describes it as "partial 16S ribosomal RNA". It matches the Rfam family "Bacterial small subunit ribosomal RNA", at positions 29 to 523 of the family's 1533-position model. The record is from RNAcentral.